GGGCUGGUAGCUCAGUGCCAGAGCACACGCUGGAUAAGCGUGAGGUCGGACGGUUCAAAUCCUCCCCGGCCCACCA
This 76-nucleotide transfer RNA is filed under the name Acetobacteraceae bacterium. RNAcentral describes it as "tRNA-Ile". It matches the Rfam family "tRNA". From Rfam's summary of the family: Transfer RNA (tRNA) molecules are approximately 80 nucleotides in length. Their secondary structure includes four short double-helical elements and three loops (D, anti-codon, and T loops). The record is from RNAcentral. Lineage: Bacteria; Pseudomonadati; Pseudomonadota; Alphaproteobacteria; Acetobacterales; Acetobacteraceae.